CAGUAGCCACGGUAAUACGGAGGGUGCAAGCGUUAAUCGGAAUUACUGGGCGUAAAGCGCACGCAGGCGGUCUGACAAGUCAGAUGUGAAAUCCCCGGGCUCAACCUGGGAACUGCAUUUGUGACUGUAUAGCUAGAGUACGGCAGAGGGGGAUGGAAUUCCGCGUGUAGCAGUGAAAUGCGUAGAUAUGCGGAGGAACACCGAUGGCGAAGGCAAUCCCCUGGGCCUGUACUGACGCUCAUGCACGAAAGCGUGGGGAGCAAACAGGAUUAGAUACCCCAGUAGUCCCUGUCUCUUAUAC
RNAcentral lists this ribosomal RNA (301 nucleotides) under uncultured bacterium. RNAcentral describes it as "partial 16S ribosomal RNA". It matches the Rfam family "Bacterial small subunit ribosomal RNA", at positions 509 to 807 of the family's 1533-position model. The record is from RNAcentral.